UUCGCCAUAACUCAGACGGUUAGAGCGUGGGUCCAAUAAGCCCAAGGUCGCAGGUUCGACCCCCGCUGACGGCA
Molecule: non-coding RNA, 74 nt
Organism: Heligmosomoides polygyrus
Lineage: Eukaryota; Metazoa; Nematoda; Chromadorea; Rhabditida; Heligmosomidae
Source: Rfam